AUGGCGCUGCCGGAGAACAUCGACGGCGGCCAUCGGGCCAUCGUCAUCGAAGACGUCCCGCCGGGCACCGGGAUCGCAGACCUCGUCGGCGCCUUCUCUCCUUUCGGCACGAUCCAGUUCGCUUCCAUGGGUCCUCCUGCCGUCUUGGGUUUCGAGAGCGAGGAGGCCGCGGCGCACGCGCUGCUUGUGGCGUCCAUGAAGAGCGUCAGCCUCCUCGGCGUCUACAGGGAGAAGGCGACCAGUCCGAUCGAGGCAGCUGCGAUGCCGCCAUCAGCCGUGGCCGCGGCUCCAGAGGGAGCGACCAGUACGACGGCCGAGACCAAGACCAGCCAGAACAAGGCAGCGUCGGCGCCCGCCGUGCACAUAGACCAGGAGGCGAUCAGCUCACUCCUGGACUCCAUCCUCGCCCUGGAGGAAAACCUCGACACCUUGAAUAGCCUGCUCACCCAGCAUAGCUCCAAGAAGGAGGAGAAGGAGGAGGAGGGCGACGACAUCGACGUUUACAACUACGACAAGGCCUGGACAGACGGCUACAAUUCAGCCUUGUACUGGCCGGACGACAACUACUACGACGCCUGGUUCGCCGGCUACCAGGCUGGACCCAAGGAUUCUCCGAUUGGUUGA
Molecule: ribosomal RNA, 624 nt
Filed under: Triticum aestivum (bread wheat)
Lineage: Eukaryota; Viridiplantae; Streptophyta; Magnoliopsida; Poales; Poaceae
Description: partial small subunit ribosomal RNA
Source: RNAcentral